GUGCUCACUUUGGCAGCACAAAUACUAAAAUUGGAUACAGAGGAGAUUAGCAAGCUUUUGAGCAAGGAUGACAUGCAAAUUUGUGAAGUGUUUCUUUUUUUU
Molecule: small nuclear RNA, 102 nt
Organism: Equus asinus (donkey)
Lineage: Eukaryota; Metazoa; Chordata; Mammalia; Perissodactyla; Equidae
Source: Ensembl